Long non-coding RNA from Oncorhynchus tshawytscha (Chinook salmon), 331 nucleotides. NCBI's taxonomy places the organism in Eukaryota, Metazoa, Chordata, Actinopteri, Salmoniformes, Salmonidae. The record is from Ensembl.
GGGGAUGGUUGAGGUUGGGAUCAUGGUGGUCUAGGUUGGGAUCUGGGUGGUUUAGGUUGGGAUCAUGUUGGUCUAGGUUGGGAUCAUGGUGGUUUAGGUUGGGAUCAUGUUGGUCUAGGUUGGGAUCAUGGUGGUUUAGGUUGGGAUCAUGUUGGUCUAGGUUGGGAUCAUGGUGGUUUAGGUUGGGAUCAUGGUGGUCUAGGUUGGGAUCUGGGUGGUUUAGGUUGGGAUCAUGGUGGUCUAGGUUGGGAUCUGGGUGGUCGAGGUUUGGGAACGGGAUGGUUGAGGUUGGGAACGGGAUGGUUGAGGUUGGGAGGGAAUGGGGUGGUUG